Macaca mulatta (Rhesus monkey) is the source of this 2581-nucleotide non-coding RNA. The record is from RefSeq and is a predicted model, not a curated record. NCBI's taxonomy places the organism in Eukaryota, Metazoa, Chordata, Mammalia, Primates, Cercopithecidae.
AGCCUGACGGAAUCACGGUUUUGUUCUCGUUCCAGCACGAGCCACAGGACAGAGAUUCGUGUGUUAACAGUCACUCUGACGCUGAAAGAAAGGAGUGAUUAUUCCCAUUUUACAGAGGAGGAAACUGAGUCUCAGGGGUGUUAACUGCGUGGCCAGCAGUCAAAGAGCCGAGGGGGAUGGAGACGGGAUGUGCGGCCGGUGGGGCUUCCCGGGGCUUGAACAACAGACACCGCAUCCCUGAGGGAGGAUUUCACAUGACCUGCCUGUGGAAAGAAAGAGUCAAGCUGUUUAUCUGUUCUUCAAGUGACCUCAGCUGCGGCCGGGUGAGGAGCUGCUUCUCUUCUGUCCCGUGAGCGUCUCCCGGGUAUUUUGCCAGCCUCAUCCUUUCUGUGAUCACAGAUGGAAUUUCUACGUUUCUGACACCAGCCCGACUGCAAUUUAAUUCUCACAAGGUAUUUCCCGAGAUUGCUGGUGCCCAAUUCCUGAGCCUCCCUGGACACAGAGCAGCACCCGGGCACAGUAGUUGGCAUGACGAGACCACAGGAUGCCAGGACUGGGAGUGACGUCGGAGACAAUAACCCACACACCAGCCUUGAAUCCUGAAAGAAGUUUGCUCGUGGGGAAAUUAGGGCCAGGCGUGUGCAGUGGCUCUGCCGGUCAUGCCUUGUCCUUCCUCCAUCCAGCAGGCCCUUCUCAGGAGUGUGAUAGAGGCAGAGGCAGAGCGGAACGGGUGAGUUUUCCGCACUGCUGAGCUGCCCGGGUGCGAGGCUGGCGGGGAGCUUGGGACGCACGGGAGGGCCCUACACCCACCUCGUGUGAGCUCCGAAGCCCAGGAGCAGAGAGGAGGGUGGAGCAGCACUGUCCCUCCCGCACAGGGAUAUACUUAACGUGUGUUCCCAUAGCUACACUCACAAAAUGCCACAGAGGCUUCCAAAACCCAUCUGUUUGGAAUGUAUCCAGGGUUUACACUGAAAAUACCAAAAUCCUUAAAGAGACUUCAGCCUCACAAGAGGCUGGUGAUUUGUAAGUUUGCAUCCCGCAUGCGAUCUGGACGCCAUGUUCCCAGCUCAGGGAGACGUUACGAGUUCCCCCUAAACCCACUGCUCUGAGCAGACUGAGCAGCCAGUCCUGCUCCUCAGGCGCCCGAGGCCUACGUGCAGCGAACUGGAUUCAGGCCCACACUCAUCCUCAGGUCCUGCCCCUGUGCUCAUCCUGUCUCGCAGGCAGCUCGGCCUCUCCCCAGUGCAGAGACCGCUUUUCUCCAUUUGCUUUUCAUCGCCCCACCCCACACUCCAGGUGGCACCAGCCUGUUCGAGCCCUGCUGAUGCCCAAUAAAUGCCUGUGCCCAGCAGGCUCAUGGUCCAACCAUAUGUAACCCCCGUCUCCCCCACACCCAGUCCGUCCACACCUGUCUCCCACCUGCAGGAUCACAGCUCACAUGAGGCAGCUCGGUCCCUCCUGUGCGGACAGCAGCACCAGCACCGGCCUGUGGGGGCUUUGGCAGCCCAUCCGGGGUUGGGUGUGGUCACGUGGGAAGGAAGGACGGGGGCAGGAGGCCGAGAAGGACGAGCACAUCUGAGGCAAGCAGGAAAAUGUUGAGCCUCUGAGUCAUGACCUCAGGCCCCCCUCCAGCUUUCACGGCCCCACAUGACCUCCCUGGGACCUGAAAUCCGGCAUCCAACAGACAAUGCGGUUCUCAGCUCUCAGAUCUCCCGGCUCCAAUCAGAAUUCAGCUCUGAGGCUCAGAGUUUAUCAUGUAAUCUUUCCAGCGAGCACGAAGCAAAGCAGUGCUGACCAACUCCACUUCCCCGAACACAUUUCUGUUUGUGUAUUUACCUGUGAGUGAUGCAGAAAGCACGAGUGUUAAUGCCGCCCUCUGCUUGGGCCACACUUGGUCGUGCCAUCGUAGCCACCAGGUGCCUUCCUGUCCUCCAGAUGGCAGGGCCACAGGAAGCACCUGCAGGGCCCCCAGCAGAGGCAGGGCCCAGACUCAGGGGUGCGGCCACAGUGCAGUUCCCACCGAUUCAAACACAUGAGAGCAUCACUGUAAAAGUAACACCUCCCAGCCUCAGCACGGACCUGCUCCCAUCACACUGUCUUAUCUGCCAGAACCUGCGUCCAGUGACGCCAAGCCAGAGGCUGCCGCCAGGUGACGGAGCCGUUCACCACCACAGGGCAGCAAGACCACUGCUGCCUCCCACAGACAACCCAUCCUCUGUGUGGCUACAGGGGCUGACUUUGUUCCCAGCCCUGCCGAGCACUUGUAAAUCAACACGAGGAUUCGAUGACCUGCUCACGCUUGACUUAUGCCAGGACAGUGCAUCUAGUGAAGCUGGAGGAGGCAGUCAGUGCGCGUCGCCACGUGCCUCACACCGUCUCAGCAAAUCCUCAGAACCACCUAAGACACCCAGAAAUGCAGGCUCCCGGGGUGAGGGAACUUACGCAGUCUCUCAGCUGGUGGGAGGCAGGGCUGUGAACCGAACGCGGUUCUCUCUAAAAGGCAGAGCGUUUCCCCUCCACACCUUGGCUCACUUUGUGAUUUAUCAAUGAGGCACAAUCUUAUCUUAAAAUAGUAAUCUGC